ACGAACGCUGGCGGCAGGCUUAACACAUGCAAGUCGAAGGUGAAGCGGGGCUUCGGUCCCGUGGAAACUGGCGCACGGGUGAGUAACGCGUGGGAAUCUACCCCGGGGUGGGGAAUAACCAUUGGAAACGAUGGCUAAUACCGCAUACGCCUUAAGAGGGAAAGCUAUAUGCGCCCUGGGAUGAGCCCGCGUCGGAUUAGGUAGUUGGUGGGGUAACGGCCUACCAAGCCAACGAUCCGUAGCUGGUCUGAGAGGAUGAUCAGCCACACUGGGACUGAGACACGGCCCAGACUCCUACGGGAGGCAGCAGUGGGGAAUAUUGGACAAUGGGGGAAACCCUGAUCCAGCCAUGCCGCGUGCGUGAAGAAGGCCUUAGGGUUGUAAAGCGCUUUCGGCGGGGAAGAUGAUGACGGUACCCGCAGAAGAAGCCCCGGCUAACUCCGU
Molecule: ribosomal RNA, 444 nt
Filed under: uncultured bacterium
Lineage: Bacteria
Description: bacterial SSU rRNA
Rfam family: Bacterial small subunit ribosomal RNA
Source: RNAcentral